UAGUUGUUCUUACGAAAGAAGCGGAGUAAAGCUUGCCGUGAGAAGUCAGCAGACGCCAUAGUAGUGCAACAGUCGAUAACGUUGCACGAAGGGC
This is a non-coding RNA of Prevotella sp. CAG:5226, 94 nucleotides long. The record is from Rfam. Lineage: Bacteria; Pseudomonadati; Bacteroidota; Bacteroidia; Bacteroidales; Prevotellaceae.